UAGUAAUGUGUGCCAGCGCCGCGGUAAUACGGAGGAUCCGAGCGUUAUCCGGAUUUAUUGGGUUUAAAGGGAGCGUAGAUGGGUUGUUAAGUCAGUUGUGAAAGUUUGCGGCUCAACCGUAAAAUUGCAAUUGAUACUGGCAGUCUUGAGUACAGUUGAGGUAGGCGGAAUUCGUGGUGUAGCGGUGAAAUGCUUAGAUAUCACGAAGAACUCCGAUUGCGAAGGCAGCUUACUAACCUGUAACUGACAUUGAUGCUCGAAAGUGUGGGUAUCAAACAGG
This 280-nucleotide ribosomal RNA is filed under the name Phocaeicola massiliensis B84634 = Timone 84634 = DSM 17679 = JCM 13223. RNAcentral describes it as "partial 16S ribosomal RNA". It matches the Rfam family "Bacterial small subunit ribosomal RNA", at positions 496 to 776 of the family's 1533-position model. The record is from RNAcentral. Lineage: Bacteria; Pseudomonadati; Bacteroidota; Bacteroidia; Bacteroidales; Bacteroidaceae.